ACCGAAUCAUCCCUGUCAAUAAAUGUUGCAACUCAACCAUCACCAGUAGCUAUACAGUACAAAUUUUCAAACUUCAUCAUCACCAUCUUUGCGCUGAGUUCCGUGGCCGACGAUGCAUCAUCAUGAAGGUGGAGACGAUCAUGACAUGGACGAUGCAGGGGAAGUUAACAUAAGUGUGAAAGUUGCGAACAACGUGAUUUAGAAGUGGGUUUUGAAGCGAUCCAUUGAGUGAUUUGUUCUGCUGGGGAUGUGUAU
This 255-nucleotide long non-coding RNA is filed under the name Lathyrus oleraceus (garden pea). RNAcentral describes it as "Pisum sativum (pea) long non-coding RNA (PSAT_LNC039045)". The record is from RNAcentral. Lineage: Eukaryota; Viridiplantae; Streptophyta; Magnoliopsida; Fabales; Fabaceae.